This 497-nucleotide ribosomal RNA is filed under the name uncultured bacterium. Its description in RNAcentral is "partial 16S ribosomal RNA". It matches the Rfam family "Bacterial small subunit ribosomal RNA", at positions 28 to 507 of the family's 1533-position model. The record is from RNAcentral.
GACGAACGCUGGCGGCGUGCCUAAUACAUGCAAGUUGAGCGCUGAAGGUUGGUACUUGUACCAACUGGAUGAGCAGCGCACGGGUGAGUAACGCGUGGGGAAUCUGCCUUUGAGCGGGGGACAACAUUUGGAAACGAAUGCUAAUACCGCAUAAAAACUUUAAACACAAGUUUUAAGUUUGAAAGAUGCAAUUGCAUCACUCAAAGAUGAUCCCGCGUUGUAUUAGCUAGUUGGUGAGGUAAAGACUCACCAAGGCGAUGAUACAUAGCCGACCUGAGAGGGUGAUCGGCCGCAUUGGGACUGAGACACGGCCCAAACUCCUACGGGAGGCAGCAGUAGGGAAUCUUCGGCAAUGGACGAGAGUCUGACCGAGCAACGCCGCGGGAGUGAAGAAGGUUUUCGGAUCGUAAAACUCUGUUGGUAGAGAAGAACGUUGGUGAGAGUGGAAAGCUCAUCAAGUGACGGUAACUACCCAGAAAGGGACGGCUAACUACGUG